Cheilinus undulatus (humphead wrasse) is the source of this 561-nucleotide long non-coding RNA. RefSeq lists it as uncharacterized. The record is from RefSeq and is a predicted model, not a curated record. Lineage: Eukaryota; Metazoa; Chordata; Actinopteri; Labriformes; Labridae. The transcript has 5 exons.
GCUGAGCCUUCACAAACCUGUGGACUACAACAUCUUAUCAGAAGACAAAGACGAGAGUCCAUCGUCGCGCCGAGGGCCACAGGCAAUUAUCAGCACUUCCUGACCUUCUGGAAAACCACAAUAGAGGAGGACAGUGGAUAGACUCGGGAACAGGGAAGAGAGAGGGGAGAGACAUGCAGGGAAUGAUGCCACAGGCCGAAGUCGAACCUGAACCACCCGCGUUCAUGGCGCACGCCCCAACCACUGGACUACCGCCUGUGACGCUGACGGUGGAGAUCCAGACGGCUGCUUUGACAGAACGGAUCCAAAUGAUGAGCGAUGAUUAUCAGGGGUGAGAAGGAUGACAGCAGGCCCCGGACGCUCACCAGACGUCUCCUGGCUUGGCGUUUGAAAAUGACACACUGCCGACAGUCUGAGUGUGUGCACAUAAAGGUGUGAUGGAAAGUUGAGCGAAGGCAGGCGAUGGGGUCGGAGCAGUCAGGGUGCAUCAGCCGGACUGCUGCAGACGUCAGGACAGGAAAGUAAAAGAGGCUGAUCAAAGGAGGAUGACUCACGGCGUGA